Long non-coding RNA from Equus caballus (horse), 3933 nucleotides. NCBI's taxonomy places the organism in Eukaryota, Metazoa, Chordata, Mammalia, Perissodactyla, Equidae. The record is from Ensembl.
GUCAGAGAGUUUUCAAUUAUUUCCACCUCCUCCUGGGGGGGAAGUCCGUCCGCCUUCCAAUGUAUAGAAGCACGAGACUCUUAGGCGUCUUGAGAUACUAUCUGGAUAUCCUUUGUUAAUCGGUGAAUGUCCAAUUAGUUGUAGAUUCAAUGGGGGGGGGACAAAGAAGACCAAUCACUCCGCUAUCUUGGUCCUGCCUAUUAGCACACUCUUAUUGCAACUGUCCUCUUAAUUGGAUUGGUACCCAGUGUAGCUGGUUGCUAGGCUUGGGGUGUACAGUUGUGAUAGGUCUGAGGCCAACAAGGCUGAUGUCAGUUCUCUUACGAGUGCAGCUGAGUAGAGCUAGGCCUUGGCAUGGAGGCACUCAGUUGUUUCAGGCUUUGGAAGGUGGGCUGAUCCUUUUUAUGGCUAUUUGUGAAACACAAGUCUUCUGCCGCUGAUAAGCCUCACCCUCCUCUGGACCACAUACACUGUCAGCACAGUCCUGGUCCAUGCACACUUCUCAACCCCGUGGAGCGUACCCCAACACCACACUGCAGAGGCCUCCACCUCUGCCCCAAUGCCCCCCACAGUUCACCUGGUCCUUACACAAGCCCUGCCCCACAGAGGCAGACACCUUUGCCUGCCUGUAGAGGAUCAAGACACCCAGUCAAUGCAGGCUGAAAAGUAGCCUGAGGGCUUGCUGUUAGGUGGGGCCAGUCCCUAGGGCGGGUUGCCUGCCCUGGCUGAACUGGAUUAAAUCUGUGCUCUAGUGGGUGUGGCAGACCCCCCCGGGCUAACAGCCCAAGGAUCGCACCUCAAUGGCCCCCACCUGUGUCCGUAUCAGCACGCCUGGACCAGCUCAUAACAACGGCCCCCACCAAUGUCUCGGUCUCCCGAGAGGAUCUUCCGCUCACCAAGAUGCCCCCAGAGCCCACCAGUUUUCAAUCCAGGGUGAUUCUUCCUAAAAUUGUUGUAACCUGGUUGUGCUUGUGGGAGGAGGUGAGUUCAACGUCUGCUCACAGCGCCAUCUUGAUGAGAACCUGUUGACACUGUUUUGAUCACACCAGACAGGAUCAAGUGAGGACUAUGGCCUGACGGACAGUGAUGGUUGACUACUUGCCAGGUGCCAUACUGACUCUGAGGAUUGAAGUGUAAAUAAGGCAUAGACCUUGAUGUCAUAGAGCUCAUAAUGUAGCAGAAGAUGUGGACAUGUAAACAUCGAACAAGUGUGGAGGCACCACACAGCACUGUAGGAGAAUAGUAUUGCCUUGAGUGAAAGCUUCACAGAACAAGAGCUCAGUCUUGAAAAAAUCAAUGGGAGUUAUCAGUUAGUAAAGUAAAGGAUGGGCAUUUCUCAGAAGCGGGAUGAUGUGGACAAAAGCAAGACAGUGUUAUGAUGGGUUUGGUAACAGGACAGACAUUUUUGUACUCUGGAAGUGAAAUACAACAAAAUGAAAGAAAUUUGAAAAAAAAACAAAACAAAACCACCUGACAGUCUGUCUUUGACAAUCUCCUCUCCCACUGCCCACAUUCCCCUCCAGUAAGUGCAAAUAUUCGGUGAGAAGCCAGGGUUCAAGGAUCUCUUCCUCCUUCUGAAAAGCUAUGUCAAAUUUUUAUAUUAGAACAAUUCCUGAAAGUUCCUCAUAUUUCAACAAUUACAAUUUACUUACAAUUUGCAGACUUUUUACAAAGUUUAUAUUGUAAAUUAUCACUAAAUUAUCCAUACUAUAGCAAUUUUGCUGGUAGCAUAACAUUUGGUUAGCACUAUAGACUGAGUAUUUGUGUCCUCCCCAAAUUCAUAUGCUGAAACUUAAUCCCCAGUGUGAUGGUAUUUGAAGGAGGGACCUUUGGGAGGUGAUUAAGUUACGAGGGUGUAUCCCUCAUAAAUAGGAUUAGUGCCAUUAUGAAAGAGACCCCAGAGAGAUCCCUCACCCCUUCUGCCAUGUGAGAUUACAGCAAAAAGGAUUUGGUCUAUGAACCAGGAAAGGUGACAUCCCCAGACAUGGAAUCUGCUUGUGCCUUGAUCUUGGACUUCCCAGUCUCCAGAACUGUGAGAGUUAAAUUUCUGUUGUUUAUAAGCCACCUAGUCUGUGGUAUUUUUUUCUAGCAGCCUGAACGGACUAAGACAGGUGGAUAUCUAGGGCCAUAUUGAAAAGAUCUAAGUACUUGUGUCUUUAUUGACUUUUGGUAGGAAACGGUAACUCUGUGAGAUGCAUAGAGCGUUCCUCAACUCUUUACCUAACUCUCACUCAUUCUUUGUGUCUCACCUUAAAUGUGACUUCCCCUGGGAAGCCUUCCCUGACUUGCUAGACUUUUUGUACUCCUAGAUUAUACUGUGUUUUUCAUGUCAUUGUAUGUUUCACACUUCACUGUAAUUCUUCACAUGAUUUUCUCUUGACUCUAAACUAUAAACUCUGAGGGAAAGAGCCAUGUCCUUUUUGCUCUCCUUUGUUUACCCAGAAUCCAGUACCUGCUGUCUAAUGUCAAUUAAAUCCAUCAAGUGAUAAAUCUAAUAAUGAGCCAGGGCCUUCACAAGUAGUUUUUUCUGGAGACCAGUGGCAUAUGAUGGUAUUGGGUUGGCAUAUGAUGGGUCUGGGUUGAUUCCAUAUUUGAAGGAUGUAGAACUUAACAAUAUAGUCCAUUUUCUGAGAACAGAGCUAAAAUAAAACUCUAUGCAAAUAUUAAUUCCAAUGUUUUUAGCAUUGUACUCAAGCUAACUGAGCUAACCGGUCACAGAAAUGUUAGUCGUACCGCUUGGGAAAUGUGACAAGGGAUGCAAGUGGCGACCUUUCAAAAGAAAUUGAAUCAAACAAUAGAAAACAAGUCACAGGCUGUGAUUCUGUCCUGGGAGAAGGAUGAAUUGGCUAACUUAACCUCUACCAGGGCACGAUAUAGUUUCAAGAAAUCUCUAUUAUAAUACAGGACUUUUUAAACUUUAUGAUAUAUCAUCAUCCUAAAACACUAAAAAUGCAGAUGUAAGUAGAGUUGAAUGUUAACGUCCUUCUUCAGCUUCUAACCCAGAAUCCCAAGGUGCUGCGGUUUCCUGAAGUAGCUACUGUGAAUCGUUUGUUGUGCAUCCUUAAAAUUGUUUUAAAUACAUUGGCAUAUGUGGAGGUAGUAAUUUAUAUAUAAUUGUUCUUUUACUCCAUAGGUGGUAUCAUACUAUUUUACUUGUUUUAUGACUUGCUUUCUUCACUUUUCACAAUAUAUUGGAGAUAGUUUCAUAUCACUGGUACAGAUUUAAUGCUUAUAUUUUAAAUAGCUGCUGUGUAUUUUGUAGUAUGCAUGUCUAGAACUUAACCAUUUUCCUAUUAUUCAAUCUUUGGAUUAUUUCAAGUUUUUUUCAGUUGCAGAAAUACUAGAGUAAACAUUUGGAUGUACGUGGAUCUUUGUGUAUAGAAAUAAUGAAUUUCUUUUAGAUAAUAAGAAUUGGAACUCAAGACGGAAAGAUGCACAUUUAAAUUUUGCUGAAAUUAUUACAACAGGGCUUUGAUUUCCAUAGUCCCACCAAUAGAACAUGGCUAUGCAUUUUUCCCUAUACUUCAUCAAUAUGAAUUUUAUGUUUUUUAUUGCUUUUCCUUUGAAUGGCUUAUUUGUAACCUUUGCUCAUUUUUUCUGUUUGGUUUUCUUAUUGAUUGAAUGAAUCCUUCAUAUAUUCUGGAUAUUAAUUGUUUGUUAUAUGUGUUGUAAAUAUUUUCUCUUAAUCUAUACCCUUAGAUUCAUCAUAUAAAUUCUCCUUGGUCUUGUUUACUUAAUGUGUAUUGAAGUCAAAUAGUUAAUAUCUUACUUAGGAUUUUUCUUUCAGUAUUCAUAAGCAAUGUUAGUCUGCAAUUUUCUUUUUUGUGCUAUCUUUGUUAGAUUUAAAUGUCAACAUUGUACUUGCUACAUAAAAAUGGUUGGAAAGUUUUCUCUUUUUCCAUGAUCCAAAUAAAUUUCUCUAGCAGUUGAAAU